RNAcentral lists this long non-coding RNA (1109 nucleotides) under Gallus gallus (chicken). Its description in RNAcentral is "long non-coding RNA NONGGAT004533". The record is from RNAcentral. Lineage: Eukaryota; Metazoa; Chordata; Aves; Galliformes; Phasianidae.
CCACAGAAUGGAAAUGUAUUUGUCACCAGGACCUCCUUUCUCCUCCCUGCGAUGUGUGGUUGGGUUCAUCCCUUUGGUGUGUGAAUGGCACAGCUCCUGCCCCUGCACACCCAAAACUGUUGUCCUAAAGGCAUUCUUCUGCUUUGUUUAGCUUCAUUUUGCUUUUUUUUUUCUUUUUUCCCCUUAGAUGAAUCUGUAACAUUCCCUGGCCUUCCCCAUAGCGCCUCUCCCCACACCUGUAAUAAAAAUGAACCACGGCCCUUUCACCCAGAGACACAGUUUCAGUUGUUUAUAGGUGAUGCUACGUAUCUUUCAGGCUGUAAAAUCCAACCCAGCUCUUUCAUUUGAUGGCACGUCCUUCUGGCAGGUCCAUUGCAUGAGGCUGUAUUGCGGGCCAAUGGAAGUCACCUCCCCUUUGUUAAUUGGCUGGUAAAUCUAUAACAAGUGGCUUGUAACAGACAAGAUACAGUCUCUAAUUAGAUUAGCUUGUAAUUUCUAAAGCGCCUGGUUUAGAGAGCUAAGUUAGCUCAUUUUGUUCCCGGUGAGAUAGGAUCUCGUGGCAGUUCUCUGUAAUUUAAGUCAUUUCUCAGCUCUGCAAACAGCCUGGGCCUGAGGAGCACACCGGGAUCGCGUCGCUGUUGUUUGGCGGGGAGUUUAACGGCGGGAAAGGAGCCGUGCUGCGCCCCGAGUGCUGCUGUGACGGCUCUGCCUUCCGCGCCCCUCAGCGCCUCACAGUCCCCUUUGUGUGCCCACGCCGGGAGGGGCGGCGUCUGGGGAGUGGUUUGUGCCGAAUUCGUGGCUGCUGGGAGGACGAAGGGGAAACCACGCCGCUAGGAAAGGCGUGUCCUGCUGACUCAAUCUCCUGUAACAAGAAACAUUCAAGAGGAAGGAAAGGGAGAUCUUCCACUUGAACUCAGAGUUGUAACUGGUGCGUGAGCGAAUCCCUCUAAUCCAGCAAAGCAGGGGCAGAAGGAAGGGUUUAUCUUCUACCCCGGCCAAGUGCUUCUCAGUGUUUGCAGUGAGAAAACAGGCACAAGCACUGCAUUCUUGGUACUCCUCCCCAUGCCUGUGCCUGAAGGCAGCCCUGAGACACACACACGCUGUUUGCC